CUCAUCUUACCCAAAUCAAUUAUCCUCUCACUCACAUAAACCCUAACAUUCGCAGUCGCUCAAAUGGAGAUUAUCGAAUCUCUAGAAGACAUCCCAGUACAAAACCCACAAGCAGAAUACUUCUCAUAUCCUGAUUUGACCUGGACCAAGUUCGGUUCAACGGAGCAUCACGAAGAGGUAGCACUCAUCCCUCACUCAAGGGUCGUUGACUUCAUCAUCGGAGAAUGCUCAAACCCUGAGUGCCCCACUCGAUUUCACCUCCAAAGACAAAGGAAACACCCCCCAGGCAGCCUCAAGGAGUACAAGCCCGACGAAUUUCUCGAAUACAGACGGUAUUGGUGCUCUUUUGGUCCUGAGAACUACGGAGAAGGAGGCGGUCAGUUGCCCAGUAGAAAGUACCGUCUCAAAACCAGGAACCGAGCCGCGAGACCUCAAUCAAUGAGAGGAUGCACGUGCCAUUUCGUGGUGAAGCGUCUCUACGCCCGUCCUUCCCUCGCGCUUCUCGUUUACAAGGAGAGACGUCACGUGAACGAGGCCGGUUUCGUCUGCCACGGACCUCUCGACAGAGACGCGAUCGGCCCCCGUGCUAAGAAGGUUCCUUACAUAUGCAACGAGAUCCAGCAGCAGACUAUGUCUAUGAUCUAUCUCGGGAUCCCUGAAGAGAGUGUUCUAGAAAAACACAUCGAAGGGAUUCACAAGUAUUGUGGCUCGGACGCCACGGUCGAUGGUCUUGCCUCUCAGUAUGUUCAUAAGCUUGGGAUGAUUAUCAAACGCUCUACUCAUGAGCUGGACUUGGAUGAUCAUGCUAGUAUCAAGAUUUGGGCUGAGAGGAACAAGAAAUCUAUCUUUUCUUAUCAGGAGUCUUCGGAGACUGAUCAGUUCAUGCUUGGGAUUCAAACUGAGUGGCAGUUGCAGCAGUUCGUGCGCUUUGGUCAUUGUGGCCUCGUUGCAGCUGAUUCGACUUUUGGGAUAAAGAGGCUUAAGUAUCCUCUAUGCACGCUUCUUGUAUUUGAUUCAAGACGUCAUGCUCUACCUGUUGCUUGGAUUAUCUCUCGUAGCAAUUUGAAAUCUGAUGUCGACAAGUGGAUGAAAAUACUGCUCAAGCGCGCACAGAGUGUUGAGCCUGGCUUUAGGAUCAAUGCCUUUAUCAUUGACGAUGCUGCACUGGAGAUUGAUCCCAUAAGGGACACAUUUUGUUGCCCCAUCCUUUUCUCUCUCUGGCGUAUUCGUAGAUCAUGGCUUCGGAAUGUAGUGAAGAAGUGCGAUACCAUUGAGGUCCAAAGAGAGUUAUUCAAAUGUUCAGGACAAGUCGUGUACAGCAUUUGGGAUGGUGGCGUAGAUACAUCAAAGGCUCUAGAAAAAUUAACUCUGGAUUUUUCUGAUCAGACCGCCUUCAUGCAGUAUUUCACAUCCACUUGGUUGCCUAAAAUAGGAAUGUGGCUCUCAUCUAUGAAAAGUCUCCCACUUGCAAGCCAAGAAGCAUGUGGAGCUAUAGAAGCUUACCAUGUAAAGCUUAAAGUGAAGCUGUUUGACGAUACACAUCUCAAUGCUCUUCAGAGAGUAGAUUGGCUAGUACACAAGCUGACGACUGAACUCCACUCGAGUUAUUGGCUUGAUCGGUAUUCUGAUGAAAGUGACUCUUUCCAAAAUGUCAAAGAAGAAUACAUAGCUUCUACUUCCUGGCACAGGGCGUCGGAGAUUCCAGACUCUGCUGUUACACUAGACAGUAAUGACACCCUUGUUGCAAAGGUUCUGUCUCAGAGAGAUACCAAUGUAGCACGAGUUGUGUGGAACCCAGGUUCGGAGUUUGCCUUGUGCGAUUGUGCAUGGUCUUUGCAAGGGAACCUAUGCAAGCACAUCAUAAAGGUAAAUACAAUGUGUGAAAACCGUGAAGGUUAUGGUGACUCAAUGUCCUUGCGUUCCUUCAAAGAGAAACUGAGAAGCAUAAAGAUGAAACCAAUGGAUGACUCUAUGGACUUGGACCUUUCAAUGGCACUGACGAUGCAGAUGUUCGAUCAGAUAAAGCAGUUGGUGCAGUUAAGCGGAACAGAUGAUAUCAGCAACAUUGUCAAUGCUUUGCCGGUGAAAUGGGGUUGUAAGAAAGGCAGAACAACCGUAGGCAUUCCUGCUUCUAUUGCUGCCUUUACAAAGAAAAGGAGUCAGAAACGGAAGCGAUAGAGAUGAUACGAUAAAUGGUUGCGUACAUCACUUGUAGAAGGUUUAUGAUCCAAGGGAUGAUAAUCAAUACUUAGCUCACAGACGAACAUCAUUACUGAGUUGGAGGCUUGGAUUUGAGUCUAAGUUUUGGAGUUGAAUCUAUAUGUAUUUUAUAAUAUAUUUCUUCUUUGUUUUCUUAUAUGCAGAAUUAGAAUAAACAUCAUCCUUGACGUUUCGUCACAAUUCAUUGUUGGAACCUCAUGAAUGUAAUUUUUUUUUGUUGAUUUUUUGUAAUUUCUUUUUUGAUUUAUUGGUUCUAUUGGUUGAUUUUUUGUAAUAACCUCAUCAACCAAUUUCAUGAAUGUAAUAACCUCAUCAACCAAGCGA
Raphanus sativus (radish) is the source of this 2544-nucleotide RNA transcript. RefSeq lists it as uncharacterized. The record is from RefSeq and is a predicted model, not a curated record. The transcript has 7 exons. Lineage: Eukaryota; Viridiplantae; Streptophyta; Magnoliopsida; Brassicales; Brassicaceae.